GCAGCGGGGAGGAGCUUGCUUCUCUGCCGGCGAGUGGCGAACGGGUGAGUAAUACAUCGGAACGUGUCGAGAAGAGGGGGAUAACCACCCGAAAGGGUGGCUAAUACCGCAUAAAUUCUGAGGAAGAAAGCUGGGGACCUAGGAAUAGGCCUAGCGCUUUUUGAGCGGCCGAUGUCGGAUUAGCUAGUUGGUGAGGUAAAGGCUCACCAAGGCGAAGAUCUGUAGCGGGUCUGAGAGGAUGAUCCGCCACACUGGGACUGAGACACGGCCCAGACUCCUACGGGAGGCAGCAGUGGGGAAUUUUGGACAGUGGGGGCAACCCUGAUCCAGCCAUGCCGCGUGUAUGAAGAAGGCCUUAGGGUUGUAAAGUACUUUUGUUAGGGAAGAAAAGUCAGCUGUGAAUAAUGGCUGAUACUGACGGUACCUAAAGAAUAAGCACCGGCUAACUACGUGCCAGCAGCCGCGGUAAUACGUAGGGUGCGAGCGUUAAUCGGAAUUAUUGGGCGUAAAGCGAGUGUAGACGGUUAUUUAAGCCAGAUGUGAAAUACCCGAGCCUAACUUGGGAGGUGCAUAUGGAACUGGGUAGCUAGAGUGUGUCAGAGGGAGGUAGAACUCCACGUGUAGCAGUGAAAUGCGUAGAGAUGUGGAAGAAUACCGAUGGCGAAGGCAGCCUCCUGGGAUAACACUGACGUUGAGGCUCGAAAGCGUGGGGAG
RNAcentral lists this ribosomal RNA (714 nucleotides) under uncultured Neisseriales bacterium. RNAcentral's name for it is "bacterial SSU rRNA". It matches the Rfam family "Bacterial small subunit ribosomal RNA", at positions 66 to 768 of the family's 1533-position model. The record is from RNAcentral. Lineage: Bacteria; Pseudomonadati; Pseudomonadota; Betaproteobacteria; Neisseriales.